Molecule: ribosomal RNA, 469 nt
Filed under: uncultured bacterium
Lineage: Bacteria
Description: bacterial SSU rRNA
Rfam family: Bacterial small subunit ribosomal RNA
Source: RNAcentral
GGACGAACGCUGGCGGCGUGCCUAACACAUGCAAGUCGAACGGGGUAAAGAGCUUCGGUUUUUUACUUAGUGGCGAACGGGUGAGUAACGCGUGAGAAACCUGCCUUUCAGUGGGGGACAACAGUUGGAAAACGACUGCUAAUACCGCAUAAUGUUAUUUGAGGGCAUCCUUAAAUAACCAAAGCUUUAUGUGCUGAAAGAUGGUCUCGCGUCUGAUUAGCUAGAUGGCGGGGUAACGGCCCACCAUGGCGACGAUCAGUAGCCGGUCUGAGAGGAUGAACGGCCACAUUGGGACUGAGAUACGGCCCAGACUCCUACGGGAGGCAGCAGGUGGGGAAUAUUGGGCAAUGGGGGAAACCCUGACCCAGCAACGCCGCGUGAAGGAAGAAGGCCUUCGGGUUGUAAACUUCUUUUAGCAGGGACGAAGAACGUGACGGUACCUGCAGAAAAAGCAACGGCUAACUACGUG